AGAAGGGAAAAAGGCGAGAGCUGAGUUUAGACCUGGACACCUUUCUAAAUAUCAUAGAGCAAAAGUAAAUUGCCCCAUUAAGGCUUGCACAUUACACUUAGGGUAAGUACUGUUCAACUUUCCUUUUUUAUAGGAGUUGCCUGCCUUAACUUUUCAGCUUAAUACGAGCAGCGUAAAUUAAGAAAAAAAAUUAACUCAAUCAGUUAUUUCACUGAAAUAGAAAAUUUGCAGAUUUUAAAGGGUAUCUAUUGUGCAUAAAUUUGGGGAUACGAGAAUUUGCCAGUGAAAUGAUAGCAGCUCUGUGCUUACAGAGCAAAGAUGUGCUAGUCUGAACAUGCCUGAUCUCAUCUGGAAUCGAAAGCUAAAUCUAGGUGGGCCUGUAAUAAUACCAGAAAAGGAACACAUGUAUCUUUUGUGCAACCUUUUUUUUUUUUUUUUUUUAAAGCUAGGCUUCCAAAGGGAAUGACAAAGAAGCAGGUUCUCCUCUUGCUUAAUAAGUAGUCAUAGUUUGCCUCUGGAGAUAUGUAUUUCCAGUUGUUUUAGUUGUUUUGUUUUGUUUUGUUUUGUUGUUGUCAUCGCUAUCGAAGAAUAUUCUUUCCUGUCAGUGAUUAUUAACACUUUCCGUUUUUCAGAAUGCUUUAACUCUGUUUGAUGUUUCCUCACUUGGUUACCUUUCUCAAGUCUGCGAUGACCCUCUCAGGCUUUGCCAUUCUUAUCGAUUCUUACCAGAAUGUACUUACUCAUUAGCUGUUUUGUUAUAGUUAUGGUGGAGAUAAUCUUGUUUUUCAGGCUUUUAUAACUAACCAAACAAAUUACCUUUUGAGGUGAAAUUUCUCAUAGUUAUCCUUGACACAGAACUGAACUUGUCUUGAAAAGGCUUGAAGAAAAUCCAAUUAGCCGUUUUUUGAGAACUGAAUAUUCUAAUAAAUGCAAAUGGAUUAUUUUACAAAAUACUUAUUGAUGUGCAAUGCUUUUCUAAUCUGUUUUUCUUUUCGUGCUUUAAAACAGACCCUGAAAAUUAAAUGUAUUAAAAAGAAAGAAAGAAAAAGAAAGAAACCUGCCAGGUUAAUACUGAUAUUUUAAAUACCCAAUUUAAAAUAAUGCUCAAAGUUUGAAUUUCUUUGCAACAUAUCACCUUUCAGUGUCAGUCAGUAAUACCUGGGCAGGUAUAUAUAUACAUUCACACCCACAGGGAAACAUGAAUCCACUUUACAGUUACAUUAAUUCUAUUUUAACCUACAAGAGAAAAGGUUAGCAUUACUGUAAAACUUUUGUUAAUUCAUUAUAUUUUAUUUUUCUGUAAUAAAAAAUUCACUGAACUAUUGCUUUCAUCCAAUUAUAUAUAUACUUAACACCCAUUUAUAUUCAAAUAUUUUAUCUUAAUUUAUGAAGUAUUUUUAUAAGUCUUAUAUGCUGCUGAAUUUUAUGCAGCUAUAUGAACGUUUAAGUUUUUUCUGAUACAAUUUGCUUUGUUCCGAAUCUGUUACUGUGUUAGAAGUUUUUUUCUUUCCCAAUCUAGAAAGAGUAUGGCCAUCUUUUCCUAUAUGUGAUAUCUAUACAUCUUCAGUAUUCUGAAGAAGAGAUUUUUUAACCUGCAAUCUCUUGGAAAGCUUUCAAACAAGUGGGAGAAGUAAUCUUUACUUUGCUUCUCCUUGAUCCAUCUGUUUGCCCUCACUGUACCACCCGUCACCACCAGCAACCCUGAAAAAAACAACAGUAAUAAAUAUGAUACGAUAAUUUUUCUGAUCACAGAACCAGGAAAUACCAGAGAAAAUUGUGGCAUAUGUAGGAAAAUGCCAAGAGCUUCUCCAGUAAGAUCAGCUGUUUUUAUACUUUUUUUUUUUCCUCUUGAAUUUUGUUUGUGACUUUUUUGGCUUGCUGAAGCACAUCCCCAUAAUCUUACGAAGCCACAGCAAAUUCCCAAUGCCACAACAAUACUGUGCAGCCGGGGAGAGGCCAGAAGAGCUGAUCCUGGGUGGCUGCAGGCUUCCCCAGCAAUGGUGCAAGGCAGGAGGAUGUGUAAUCUGGUCUAAAUUUGAAGAAGAGGGCAAGUAUAGCAUUUUUAUCUAGCUUGAAUAUGGCAUGGUAAUUCUGUAUUAAUGAGGUCAAUGGUAAAUGCAGUUCAGCUACACAUUUCUGUUUUUCCAGACAUACAAACACAUUCUGUGGAAAUAGAAAAUGUCUAAAAAAUGGAAAUGAUGAAAUAACUUGAGACAUGACAAAUCGCUUAACCUAUCUGUGUAAUAGUGUAUUUGUCAAAUAAAUAGAAAACCAUCUAUCCUCAUCUACUUCACAGCAGUAUUGCUAAGGCUGAUUGUGCACACAUAUAUUAAUGUAUAUAUCGUAGCUAUCUAUUUACAGCAGGGGAGAAUGGUUUUAAAAUAAAUGAAUCAGAGUUUUAUGUGUGCAUCCAUUGUGAAGAAUUCAGUUGUGUCCUUACCGUAGGAAGACAGGGUUAACUGAGAGUUUUGAGAGUUGUGGUAUGUGCUUUUCCAUUUGGGUCUGGG
RNAcentral lists this long non-coding RNA (2507 nucleotides) under Homo sapiens (human). RNAcentral's name for it is "HSALNT0313907". Lineage: Eukaryota; Metazoa; Chordata; Mammalia; Primates; Hominidae. The record is from RNAcentral.